RNAcentral lists this unclassified non-coding RNA (379 nucleotides) under uncultured Gammaproteobacteria bacterium. Its description in RNAcentral is "contains 16S-23S intergenic spacer region". Lineage: Bacteria; Pseudomonadati; Pseudomonadota; Gammaproteobacteria. The record is from RNAcentral.
UCCGGUUCAUCACCGGCAGUCUCCUUAGAGUCCCCACCAUUACAUGUUGGCAACUAAGGAUAAGGGUUGCGCUCGUUACGGGACUUAACCCAACAUCUCACAACACGAGCUGACGACAGCCAUGCAGCACCUGUCUCUAGGUUCCUUUCGGCACUCCCAAAUCUCUUCGAGAUUCCUAGGAUGUCAAGGGUAGGUAAGGUUCUUCGCGUAGCAUCGAAUUAAACCACAUGCUCCACCGCUUGUGCGGGCCCCCGUCAAUUCCUUUGAGUUUUAAUCUUGCGACCGUACUCCCCAGGCGGAAAACUUAUCGCGUUAGCUUCGAUACUGACCAGUCUAAGCUGGACAACAUCUAGUUUUCAUCGUUUACGGCGUGGACUAC